RNAcentral lists this long non-coding RNA (622 nucleotides) under Cicer arietinum (chickpea). RNAcentral's name for it is "long non-coding RNA (CARI_LNC001098)". The record is from RNAcentral. Lineage: Eukaryota; Viridiplantae; Streptophyta; Magnoliopsida; Fabales; Fabaceae.
GGAAAUGGAAACAAGCCAUGGAUGUGGAAAUGGAGGCGUUAAACAAGAAUAGGACCUGGAAACUUGUCACCCUACCAAUUGGGAAAAAACCAGUAGGAUGCAAGUGGGUAUAUACAAUUAAAUACAGGGCUGAUGGGACCAUUGAACGUUACAAGGCAAGAUUAGUGGCCAAAGGCUUCACUCAAACCUAUGGAGUUGAUUACUUGGAGACAUUUGCCCCGGUUGCUAAGAUGAACACGGUCAGAGUAAUAUUGUCAUUAGCAGCAAAUCAUGAUUGGGACCUGCAGCAGUUUGAUGUGAAGAAUGCAUUUUUACAUGGAGACCUCUUGUCACCUUACCCAUUGGAAAAAAACCAGUAGGAUGCAAGUGGUAUAUACAGUUAAAUACAAGGCUGAUGGGACCAUUGAACAUUACAAGGCAAGAUUAGUGGCCAAAGGCUUCACUCAAACCUAUGGAGUUGAUUACUUGGAGAAUUUUCCCCGGUUGCUAAGAUGAACACGGUCAGAGUAAUAUUGUCAUUAGCAGCAAAUCAUGAUUGGGACCUACAGCAGUUUGAUGUGAAGAAUGCAUUUUUACAUGGAGACCUUGAAGAAGAAAUAUACAUGGAGUUGCCCCCUGGUUA